This 401-nucleotide ribosomal RNA is filed under the name uncultured bacterium. RNAcentral's name for it is "bacterial SSU rRNA". It matches the Rfam family "Bacterial small subunit ribosomal RNA", at positions 356 to 774 of the family's 1533-position model. The record is from RNAcentral.
GGGGAAUAUUGCACAAUGGGCGAAAGCCUGAUGCAGCAACGCCGCGUGAGUGAUGAAGGCCUUCGGGUUGUAAAGCUCUGUCUUCUGGGACGAUAAUGACGGUACCAGAGGAGGAAGCCACGGCUAACUCCGUGCCAGCAGCCGCGGUAAUACGUAGGUGGCAAGCGUUGUCCGGAUUUACUGGGCGUAAAGGAUGCGUAGGCGGAUACUUAAGUCAGAUGUGAAAAUCCCGGGCUUAACUUGGGAACUGCAUUUGAAACUGGGUAUCUAGAGUGCGGGAGAGGAAACUGGAAUUCCUAGGGUAGUGGUGAAAUGCGUAGAGAUUAGGAAGAACACCAGUGGCGCAGGCGACUUUCUGGACCGUAACUGACGCUGAGGCAUGAAAGCGUGGGGAGCAAACA